AGGGAUCAUUACCGAGUUUACAACUCCCAAACCCCUGUGAACAUACCUAUACGUUGCCUCGGCGGAUCAGCCCGCGCCCCGUAAAACGGGACGGCCCGCCCGAGGACCCUAAACUCUGUUUUUAGUGGAACUUCUGAGUAAAACAAACAAAUAAAUCAAAACUUUCAACAACGGAUCUCUUGGUUCUGGCAUCGAUGAAGAACGCAGCAAAAUGCGAUAAGUAAUGUGAAUUGCAGAAUUCAGUGAAUCAUCGAAUCUUUGAACGCACAUUGCGCCCGCCAGUAUUCUGGCGGGCAUGCCUGUUCGAGCGUCAUUUCAACCCUCAAGCUCAGCUUGGUGUUGGGACUCGCGGUAACCCGCGUUCCCCAAAUCGAUUGGCGGUCACGUCGAGCUUCCAUAGCGUAGUAAUCAUACACCUCGUUACUGGUAAUCGUCGCGGCCACGCCGUUAAACCCCAACUUCUGAAUGUUGACCUCGGAUCAGGUAGGAAUACCCGCUGAACUUAAGCAUAUCAAU
Molecule: ribosomal RNA, 516 nt
Filed under: fungal sp. E15010A
Lineage: Eukaryota; Fungi
Description: eukaryotic LSU rRNA
Rfam family: 5.8S ribosomal RNA (bases 160-313)
Source: RNAcentral